CGGCUUCCCCGGCGCUCCUUUCCCCGGGUUUCCCCAGGGCCCCACUCACCACGCUCCUCCCCGGGGCCCUCAGCACCUCCGCUCCCUUCCCGGGGCCUCCUCACCGAACCGCCCCCUGCAGAACCUGCCCACCACCCCGGAACCGCUGCCCAGCCUCCAAAGCUCACCCCGCUGCGGGUGCUCACGCCCAUUCCCCAGCGCUAGUGAAUAACUUCAGGAAUGGAACUGGCUACACAAACAGGCUCAGGAAGAGGAGACAGCAGCAGCCACCCCCACUCAGGACUGAUUUAUCUUCCUCUUCUCUGGGGAGUGCCACUCAACUUCCCAGACCUUCCUCUCGGUUAUUCAGCAGUUUCUGGGGUGAGAAGGUCCAAGUCUCCCUCUUGUACAAACUCUUCUUCUCAAAUGGAACCUCCCUUGAAAAAAAUCAAGAAGGAGUAGCCAGCCUUUCUUUGUUCAUGUUUCUGGUUCAUGUUUGUCUUUGCUUCUAGAACAUUUGUGAAUUUUUGACUUGUUGUUUUCAAAUAAAGCCCAUAGCACC
Molecule: long non-coding RNA, 541 nt
Organism: Calypte anna (Anna's hummingbird)
Lineage: Eukaryota; Metazoa; Chordata; Aves; Apodiformes; Trochilidae
Exons: 4
Source: RefSeq, a predicted model, not a curated record